RNAcentral lists this long non-coding RNA (341 nucleotides) under Mytilus galloprovincialis (Mediterranean mussel). Lineage: Eukaryota; Metazoa; Mollusca; Bivalvia; Mytilida; Mytilidae. The record is from RNAcentral.
AAAUGACACGAAGAAAAAUAUUCAUUAACUUAGUUGUUCAUAUUAUUUUCAAAUAAAACACACACUACAUAUUUAAAAUUCAAUUAAACAGAAAAUGAUUAUCAGAACAAAACAAUACAAACGUAACAUAUUUUGUAUUAACAUUACUGAUACAAUUUUUCUGCACAAAAUGCGAAUCAACAACCAAUGUUUUGUCAAUAAUGUCGUGUUCUUAUGUUGUUUGAUUCCUUCAAUGUCUCAGUUAACUCUUUUCAGUGAGUUGCUUUUUAUCCGUCAAUAUUCAUGAUCACAUAUUUUAAAGUUCGUAGGAGAAAAUGAACUCUUUGAGUAUUCGGUUAGCG